Molecule: ribosomal RNA, 459 nt
Filed under: uncultured bacterium
Lineage: Bacteria
Description: partial 16S ribosomal RNA
Rfam family: Bacterial small subunit ribosomal RNA
Source: RNAcentral
CCUACGGGUGGCAGCAGUGAGGAAUAUUGGUCAAUGGACGCAAGUCUGAACCAGCCAUGCCGCGUGAGGGAAGACGGUCCUAUGGAUUGUAAACCUCUUUUGUCGGGGAGCAAAAGACGCCACGCGUGGCGUUCCGAGAGUACCCGAAGAAAAAGCAUCGGCUAACUCCGUGCCAGCAGCCGCGGUAAUACGGAGGAUGCGAGCGUUAUCCGGAUUUAUUGGGUUUAAAGGGUGCGCAGGCGGAAGAUCAAGGCAGCGGUAAAAGUGAGAGGCUCAACCUCUUCGAGCCGUUGAAACUGGUUUUCUUGAGUGAGCGAGAAGUAUGCGGAAUGCGUGGUGUAGCGGUGAAAUGCAUAGAUAUCACGCAGAACUCCGAUUGCGAAGGCAGCAUACCGGCGCUCAACUGACGCUCAUGCACGAAAGUGUGGGUAUCGAACAGGAUUAGAUGCCCUUGUAGUC